This 225-nucleotide unclassified non-coding RNA is filed under the name Hevea brasiliensis (rubber tree). The record is from RNAcentral. Lineage: Eukaryota; Viridiplantae; Streptophyta; Magnoliopsida; Malpighiales; Euphorbiaceae.
CGAAGAAGAGUGAGGAAGUUACUAAAAUUGACUCUGAACUGAAAUACAAGGCUCAACUCUUGGAUGAAGCCAAUGAAAUUGUAAAGAAACAAGAAAUUGAGAUUCAAGGACUAAAAAAUGCUCUCCAAGAGAAAGAAGAAGAACUGGAAGUUUCUAUGACUCUUAGAAGACUUGAAGAGGAGAAGUUAAAAGUUGCAGAGGCCAAUUUAGAGAAGCAGACAAUGG